ACGGGAGGCAGCAGUGAGGAAUCUUCCACAAUGGGCGAAAGCCUGAUGGAGCAACGCCGCGUGAAGGAUGAAGGCCUUCGGGUUGUAAACUUCUUUUAUGAGUGAAGAAUAUGACGGUAACUCAUGAAUAAGCACCGGCUAACUACGUGCCAGCAGCCGCGGUCAUACGUAGGGUGCAAGCAUUAUCCGGAGUGACUGGGCGUAAAGAGUUGCGUAGGCGGUUUAGUAAGUGAAUAGUGAAACCUGGUGGCUCAACCAUACAGACUAUUAUUCAAACUGUUAAACUCGAGAGUGGUAGAGGUAACUGGAAUUUCUAGUGUAGGAGUGAAAUCCGUAGAUAUUAGAAGGAACACCGAUGGCGUAGGCAGGUUACUGGGCCAUUUCUGACGCUAAGGCACGAAAGCGUGGGGAGCGAACCGGAUCAGAUACCCGGGUAGUCCACGCCGUAAACGAUGGAUACUAGCUGUUGGAGGUAUCGACCCCUUCAGUAGCGAAGCUAACGCGUUAAGUAUCCCGCCUGUGGAGUACGGCCGCAAGGCUAAAA
RNAcentral lists this ribosomal RNA (544 nucleotides) under uncultured bacterium. RNAcentral's name for it is "bacterial SSU rRNA". It matches the Rfam family "Bacterial small subunit ribosomal RNA", at positions 341 to 899 of the family's 1533-position model. The record is from RNAcentral.